UACAUUGAGUGAGGCUAAGCCGUUCAGGCGAUCUUCAGACAUUGUUGAUCUCAAAUACGUUUUCAGUCGUCGCAAAGUUGAGAAGGAUCGUUCAUUCGUCGCUGUUGUCACAGGCAAAACUGCCAUCACGCGAAGCAUCUGGUUAACAUUUGGAAACGCAUCUUCAUUACAAAUAUCGAGUGCUUCAAAUUUCACGGGAAUCGUCGCGCAAAAUUGAACAGUAUGGUUGGAAUAGUUGAGCGCAGGACUCUUCCUCGAAAAUUUGCAUUUUGUUGGGAAAAAG
This is a long non-coding RNA of Anastrepha obliqua, 283 nucleotides long. RefSeq lists it as uncharacterized. The record is from RefSeq and is a predicted model, not a curated record. The transcript is spliced from 2 exons. Lineage: Eukaryota; Metazoa; Arthropoda; Insecta; Diptera; Tephritidae.